UAGGUCGGAGUGGGAGACACCGCCGGAAUGGCAGUCCCCCACUACAUGGCAUCCGGAAUGGGAGGAAUCAGAUCGGCAGGAGAUCUGGUCGCCCGUAUG
This 99-nucleotide non-coding RNA is filed under the name human gut metagenome. Its description in RNAcentral is "Pyrrolysine insertion sequence mtbB". It matches the Rfam family "Pyrrolysine insertion sequence mtbB". The record is from RNAcentral.